Bos grunniens (domestic yak) is the source of this 2347-nucleotide long non-coding RNA. The record is from Ensembl. Lineage: Eukaryota; Metazoa; Chordata; Mammalia; Artiodactyla; Bovidae.
AUGAUAUGGCCACUUCUGAACCAAGGAUAUUUAAUCGUGCCUGAAGUGGGGCUCAAAGAAGACAAACCCUGCAACCUCAAGCCAGUGGGCAACCUGGCUGCUGCCUCCCGUGAGCCCUUUCUGCCUCUGUCUUCCCGCCAAGCGCAGAGUCCCUGGCUCACAGUUGUUACCUUCACUCUGCUUAGAUGCAGCCUCCAUGAACCGGCAGUGGAUGUGCGCACCUUACCAGGAGAGUUCAGCUUUCCUCGGCUCUUCUGUUAGUCCUGGCAGUCCUCCAGCUGGCUGAGGGGACCUGUCUCCUCCAAGUAGGACCCCAGCACCAAAGGGCCCGAUCUGUGGCUCCAACCAUUGACUCCCCAGAGUAGGUUCCCCACUUCCCCACAUAUUCCCCCUUUUCCUCUGAGUCCCCGCCCAGUGGCACAGGUUCCAAUGCUAUUGCUUUCCUUCUCUUCCUACCUGAUUACCUGUGUAUCUUUCUUAGAGCUUUGGUGUACAGGAGUCCUUCCGCCAGUUUGCAGUGAAAACUGUCCCACAUGUAGAUUAUCUUUGAUGUGUUCAUCAGGGGAGGUGUGCUUCACAUCCUUAUACUCUGCCAUCUAGAUCUGAACCUCUCAGACCUCUGAUUUCUUAUAAUUAAGUCCAAAUUUUUUCAAUAUAUUCUUUUAACAUAAUCACCAAAAACAAAAAUUCACGGCCAAGUAACUAAGAAAUGUCUUGAACUCUAAUAAACACAUUCUGAAUAUUUAUGUUGAUUUUCAACUUUUAAUCAAAUGGCAAAAUAGAAAUUCUAUUUGUAAAAUAAGCAUUUACCUCCAUAGAGUUUGAAAGUUGAAAUAUGUUAAUAAAUUACUGUUAGCACAUAUAUUUGGGACUCUCUCCAAGUCCCAAAUUACUUAGGUAUUUUUCACAGUUCUUUUGGUUGAGUCCUUUCUUUUGUGUAUGUGUUUUUAAUGCCAGAAAUAGAUUUGAAGUGCUUUAAUUGUUGGCAUUUCUAUCUGAAAACAGUUGGAGUCGUAACGCUUAUUUUUGGCAAGCAGAAUCAACAUCCACCACAAAGCAAUCUGUAAUAUAAAGCCUAUAGCAUAAAUUUUUGUCUUUAGUGGGAGGAAAUUCACCACAAUAGGUUAGGGAACUUGUACGCAUUUACUUCUGAAGUUUAUGUGGCAGUUAAGUGAUUUUGGUAAAUGCCAAUUUCCUACUUAUUAGUAAGAACAUCUAUUUGUGCAACUCAAAUGGAAAAUAUAUGUUAAUAAAUUACUGUUAGCACAUAUAUUUGGGACUCUCUCCAAGUCCCAAAUUACUUAGGUAUUUUUCACAGUUCUUUUGGUUGAGUCCUUUCUUUUGUGUAUGUGUUUUAAUGCCAGAAAUAGAUUUGAAGUGCUUUAAUUGUUGGCAUUUCUAUCUGAAAACAGUUGAGUCGUAACGCUUAUUUUUGGCAAGCAGAAUCAACAUCCACCACAAAGCAAUCUGUAAUAUAAAGCCUAUAGCAUAAAUUUUUGUCUUUAGUGGGAGGAAAUUCACCACAAUAGGUUAGGGAACUUGUACGCAUUUACUUCUGAAGUUUAUGUGGCAGUUAAGUGAUUUUGGUAAAUGCCAAUUUCCUACUUAUUAGUAAGAACAUCUAUUUGUGCAACUCAAAUGGAAAAUAUAUGUGAUUGAAUGAUCUGUCUGCUCCAAAACUCCUCUUCAGCAAGAUAGGACUGUACAUUUCCAGUGCCUCGUUAAUGCACAAGUGGGGACCUCAAUUUUUGAGACCCAGUGCAAGAACUCAUGUCAUGGCAAACUUGAGAAAUAAUACUGCCAAGUGAACCAGAAAGAGAUUUUAUUUUAAACAGGCUUCAAAUGAAGGUUGAAGUAAUCUGAAACAGACACUUUCGCAAUCUACAUUUCAUGUUUUCCAAAGUGCUGACUGCCAGAGCAAAACAACAAAAUUGUUUCUGGAUAUGUGAAGGGAAAAAGGUUGAUAUCAGUUAUUCAUUUUUGCAGAUGCACAGUUCAGUAACUUGUACACAGAAACACUAUGCAAAUCUUUCUAAAAUUUGAAAAUACAGUAGUGGACGCCUCAUUAGACAAGGUUUUAAGUCAUCUGAGGAGUAACCAGGGACAGUUUGCCAGACUUCUACUCACCCCAGAUCACUGCCCCUCUGAGAUGAUUUAUAAGGUUCAUUUUAGAAAUACUUGUAGCACACACAUUCUGUAGAGAUUUGAACUUCAAAUGCUUUACAGUCUAAACUGAGCUUCACUGGACCAUGUAGUUUUACAACCGGAAAUCUUUCGGCAUUACUCCUUCUUGGGAAGAAACUGAGAAGACUGUGUUGCCUAUUUCAAAAGGAAUUUUUGCUUAAGU